Molecule: ribosomal RNA, 254 nt
Filed under: uncultured bacterium
Lineage: Bacteria
Description: partial 16S ribosomal RNA
Rfam family: Bacterial small subunit ribosomal RNA
Source: RNAcentral
UACGGGGGGAGCAAGCGUUGUUCGGAUUUACUGGGCGUAAAGGGCGCGUAGGCGGUCAGCACAAGUCAGUUGUGAAAUCUCCGGGCUUAACUCGGAAAGAUCAACUGAUACUGUGCGACUAGAGUGCAGAAGGGGCAACUGGAAUUCUCGGUGUAGCGGUGAAAUGCGUAGAUAUCGAGAGGAACACCUGCGGCGAAGGCGGGUUGCUGGGCUGACACUGACGCUGAUGCGCGAAAGCCAGGGGAGCGAACGGG